AUGCCUACGGCGGCGAGGGUGGCACCUACUACGAGUGGAGCCUCGCGGAGCUGCCAAUGCUCGGCGUCGCCUCCAUCGAAUGUCAUGGCAGGCGCAGCUGGGCAUCGCGCUGGACUGCGCCCGCCCAACGCCAGCAGCACCACCCGCCCUCUCCCUCCCAUUGACCCACCUACCAGCGCCUCCAGCAUGGAGCUCCGCCUCUGCCUCCACCUCCACCCGCACGCACGGAACCCUUCCGCCCCGACGCCGCCUCCAUGCCCUGUGGCUGUGCUGCUUCCCGCAUCCUGCCGCGGCCCCGACUGCGGAUUGGAUUGGUAA
Molecule: ribosomal RNA, 318 nt
Filed under: Triticum aestivum (bread wheat)
Lineage: Eukaryota; Viridiplantae; Streptophyta; Magnoliopsida; Poales; Poaceae
Description: partial small subunit ribosomal RNA
Source: RNAcentral